Balaenoptera ricei (Rice's whale) is the source of this 1578-nucleotide long non-coding RNA. RefSeq lists it as uncharacterized. Lineage: Eukaryota; Metazoa; Chordata; Mammalia; Artiodactyla; Balaenopteridae. The record is from RefSeq and is a predicted model, not a curated record. The transcript has 3 exons.
CGUGACUGGGCAUGCGCUCGAGUUACCUGUCCAGCGCGGCCUUGCAAUGAAGCGUGGUUUACUGCUCCCAACACGCACCAGCCCCAGGCCUCCGAUUGGCACCCACAUGGGCUUCUGGGAGUUGUAGUUUUUCGGAGCCUUCGCUCCCUUGUCCUGAAAUGACCUAUCGCCCACCUCUCACCGCUCCUGGCCUGAGGGGCUCCGCGGCCUCCCGGGCGAUUGGCCGAGUCACGGCUGGGUCUGGCCUCUACGGCAGGGAACUGAAGGGCAGCCGUCGCGGAGCAGACAGUCGCUACGGCCCUGCCACUGCACUUAAUAGUGGAGCUCCACGAGUGGGGAAAGAAGAAAAGCUGUCAUGCAAGCAUCCUUGAAGAAGGGUCAAUUUCUUUGUCAAGUCUAGAGCUGAUGACUGGAUUUUUACACAUAUUUGACAAUACAGUCCAAACACAAUGGAAAUCAACUACAAAGUGAAAUUGCACGUCUCACGAAAGAUAAUUUUAUGAGAUUGAUGAAAGAAGGCCAAUGAGCUUAGUCCACAGUGAAAGAGGGGAAAAGACAUUGACAUUGAAGAGAUGCAGCUCCACAUGCAUGAAAUGACACCUGUAUGAAGUUUUUCAUUGUUGCAUUAUUUGUUCAGCGAAAGGUACCUGGUUAAAUAAACGAUGAUAUGAUAAGCAGCGGGAAAAACAAAUAAGGAAGAUCUCUAUGUGCUAAUAUGAAAAGAGCUUUAGGAUGUAUUGGUAAGUGAAAAAAAGCAAGAUAUAGAACACUGUAGAAUAGUCUCUAUAGUAGGCUACCUUUUAUGUAAUAAGGUGAGAGAUAUAUUUGCAUAUGCCUGCAUUUGCCUUAAAAAUCCUAGAAGGAUUAAAAAAAAAAGAUACCAAUGGAAAUAAAUAUCAUUAGAGAGUUGGAGUGAGGGAUGCAGGAGUAGGUUAUAGAGUUCUCUGGGCCUAUCUUUUUAUAGUGUGUUGAACUUCGAACCAUGUAAAUGUUGUACCUAAUAAAAAUGAAUACAUUUAAAAAUCACUCUGGCUGCUCUGAGAGUAGUUGUAGAGACAAAGAGUAGAAGCUGGGAGACCAUUAGGAAGGUGGUGAAGUUGGUUGGGCAGGUGUAGAUGGUGGCUGGCUCUGGAAGGAAGCAGUGGAGGUGGUGAGAAGGAGUCAGGUUGGGGGUGCAGAGCCAGGUGGACUUGCUGAUGGAUUGGAUGUCGCAUGUGAGAGAAGAAAAAAAAAAAAGAAAUCAAGGAUAAUUCCUAAUAUUUGUCUUGGGCAGCUGGAGGAGAGAAAAUGGAGUAGAGGUGGGGAAGGGGCAGGGAAAAUUGAGAACCAAGGGUCUGUUUUGGACUCGUGAAGACUGAUAUGUCUCUUGGAUGUCCAAGUGGAAAUGCCCACAACUAGAGAGAAACAUCCAGAAGAAUUAAGACAGCAGAGGUGUUUCUAAAGAUGAGUUCAACUCCCCAUGAGUUUUAACUAAAGGACUGAGAGACUGUGGGAAAAUUAAUAAAACCCUCAAGCAUUUUGUUAAAUGUCCAUCUUCAUUGUCAUGCUGCACAAAUAAAAUACAAAGGAAAAAUGUCA